UUGGUGAGAUCUCAAUUUCGG
This 21-nucleotide non-coding RNA is filed under the name Arabidopsis thaliana (thale cress). Lineage: Eukaryota; Viridiplantae; Streptophyta; Magnoliopsida; Brassicales; Brassicaceae. The record is from RNAcentral.